AUUGAACGCUGGCGGCAGGCCUAACACAUGCAAGUCGAGCGGAUGAAGGGAGCUUGCUCCUGGAUUCAGCGGCGGACGGGUGAGUAAUGCCUAGGAAUCUGCCUGGUAGUGGGGGAUAACGUCCGGAAACGGGCGCUAAUACCGCAUACGUCCUGAGGGAGAAGGUGGGGGAUCUUCGGACCUCACGCUAUCAGAUGAGCCUAGGUCGGAUUAGCUAGUUGGUGGGGUAAAGGCCUACCAAGGCGACGAUCCGUAACUGGUCUGAGAGGAUGAUCAGUCACACUGGAACUGAGACACGGUCCAGACUCCUACGGGAGGCAGCAGUGGGGAAUAUUGGACAAUGGGCGAAAGCCUGAUCCAGCCAUGCCGCGUGUGUGAAGAAGGUCUUAGGAUUGUAAAGCACUUUAAGUUGGGAGGAAGGGCAGUAAGUUAAUACCUUGCUGUUUUGACGUUACCAACAGAAUAAGCACCGGCUAACUUCGUG
Molecule: ribosomal RNA, 484 nt
Filed under: uncultured bacterium
Lineage: Bacteria
Description: partial 16S ribosomal RNA
Rfam family: Bacterial small subunit ribosomal RNA
Source: RNAcentral